AUGGCGCCCAUCAACAGCUCCAACAUGGAUAUGCACUCGCAGAAGCUCUUCGAGCCCGACCUACCUGUGCAAGUCCGGCUGCAGCUCGUGAUGGAAGUUCGGGACAGCCUGGAGAUGACACAUACUCCGGAUUACCUCAACUUCCUUCGAUGCUACUUCAGGGCCUUCUCAGCCAUCCUGAGCACCUACACCUCACCACAGGCCACCGAAAACGCUGAGCACAAGCUGCGCAAUGUGGUGAUCGAGAUCCUCAACCGGCUUCCGCACAGUGAGGUGCUGCGACCCUUUGUGCAGGAUCUUCUCAAGCUCUCUCUCCGCGUGCUGACACAGGACAAUGAGGACAAUGCCCUUCUUGCCAUUCGAAUCGUAUUUGACCUUCUCCGCAACUUCCGCCCUACUGUUGAGGCGGAGGUCCAGCCAUUUCUUGAUUUUGUUGUUGCAAUAUACCGCAACUUCAAAUUUACCGUCAAGCAUUUCUUCGAUAACCCCAAUGCCAGUGCCAAUGUCGUUCCUCCCGUGUCCAAUCAGCAUUUGGACCCCACUGCCGAUGGCCCAGGCAUGUUGGCAGUGCCAAGUGGUGGACAACUCAAUCCAAGCGCACAGUCUUUCAAGAUAGUUACCGAGAGCCCUCUUGUGGUGAUGUUCCUCUUUCAGUUGUAUGCUAAGCUGGUGCAGACAAAUAUCCCGUUCUUAUUGCCACUCAUGGUGGAAGCAAUUGCUGAGAACGGGCCAGACAAGGUGCUGCCUCACCUGAAGACGCCCUUUGUUGAGUUAAAGGGUGCACAAGUCAAGACAUUGUCGUUCCUGACGUACCUGCUAAAAAGCAACGCAGAUUAUAUAAAGCCAUAUGAGAACAGUAUAUGCAGCAGUAUUGUGAAAUUGCUUGUUACAUGCCCCGCAGACUCAGUCUCCAUAAGAAAGGAGCUGCUAGUUGGGCUGAAGCAAGUUCUCAACACUGAAUACAGGCGUGGGCUGUUUCCCUUGAUUGACACACUUCUUGAUGAAAGGGUUUUGGUUGGCACAGGGCGAGUUUGUAUCGAGACAUUAAGGCCGCUUGCUUAUACCCUUCUUGCAGAGUUGGUGCAUUAUGUUCGAGGAGACCUUUCCCUUCCGCUGUUGUCACGGAUCAUCUAUUUGUUCUCUCGGAAUAUGCAUGAUUCUUCGUUAACUCUCGUAAUUCAUACGACGUCUGCCCGCCUAAUGCUUAAUCUGGUCGAGCCCAUAUAUGAAAAAGGUGUUGACCAGCAAAGCAUGGAUGAAGCACGAGUAUUGUUGGGGCGCAUAUUGGAUGCAUUUGUUGGGAAAUUUAGGACACUGAAGCGCACGAUUCCUCAGUUGCUUGAAGAAGUUGAGGAAGGGAAGGAACGUCCAAAUUUGAGAAUGAAGCUCGAAGUCCCAUUGCAGACCGUGUUGAAUUUGCAACCACCCUUGGAAUAUACGAAGGAGGUUAAUGAUUACAAAAGUCUGAUAAGGACACUCGUAAUGGGAAUGAAGACAAUAAUUUGGAGUAUAACCCAUGCUCAUUGGCCACGCCCACAGCAACAGAAUCAGCAAUCUGCUAAUUUGUCAGUUCAACCCUUCAGGGGACUGUGGGAGGAUGAGGUGCGGAAGACUUCAGGUGUUCUAAAAUCUGGUGUUCACUGUUUAGCUCUAUUUAAGGAGAAAGAUGAGGAGAGGGACAUACUACAAUGUUUUUCACAAAUGCUAGCUAUAAUGGAAGCUCGUGAUAUCAUGGAUAUGUUUUCCUUCUGCAUGCCGGAUCUCUUUGAUUGCAUGAUAACCAACAACCAGCUUUUACACAUAUUUUCUUCCCUUCUGCAAGCUCCAAAGGUUCUUCGGCCCUUCACAGAUGUAUUGAUUAAUUUCCUUGUUAGCUCAAAGCUUGAUGCUCUGAAACAACCAGAUUCACCUGCAGCAAAGCUUGUCUUGCAACUCUUCCGCUUCUUGUUUAUUGCUGCCGCAAAGGCUCCAGAAAGCUGCGAACGCACUCUUCAGCCACAUGUGCCAGUAAUAAUGGAAGUUUGCAUGAAGAGUGCCACUGAAGUUGAGAAACCUCUUGGUUACAUGCACCUUCUCCGUAGCAUGUUCCGUGCAUUGAACAGUGCUAAAUUUGAUUCAUUGAUGCGUGAUCUUAUUCCAUCUCUUCAACCUUGCCUCAAUUUGUUACUCUCGAUGCUUGAUGGGCCAACAACUGCAGAUAUGCGGGACUUGAUUCUGGAGCUUUGCCUGAUAUUACCUGCCCGUUUGAGUUCGUUGCUACCUCACAUUCCUCGUUUGAUGAAACCUCUUGUUCUUGCUCUGAAAGGGAAUGAUGAUCUUGUGAGCUUAGCUCUUUGUACACUUGAAUUUUGGAUUGAUAGCCUAAAUCCUGAUUUUCUGGAACCUAGCAUGGCCAGUUUAAUGUCUGAGGUCAUUCUUGCUUUAUGGUCUCACUUAAGGCCCCUUCCCUACAAAUGGGGUACAAAGUCCUUGGAACUUUUAGGUAAGCUAGGCGGUCGAAACAGGCGAUUUCUGAAGGAGCCCUUAGCACUUGAAUGCAAAGAAAAUCCGGAACAUGGACUUCGUUUAGUUCUGACUUUUGAGCCUGCAACACCAUUUUUAGUUCCUCUGGACAGAUGCAUACAUUUUGCUGUUGGUGCUGUUAUGCAAGGUAAUGGUAUGGAAGCUUUCUACAGGAAACAGGCUCUUCAGUUUAUUCGAGUAUGCUUGAACUCUUUGUUAAAUUUGAGGGAAAAUGUACCUGCGGAGGGUGUGAGCUCUGGCGUUCUUGGGCAUCUGCUCAUUUCUUCAUUAGAUCCCUCAAGGCGUCGCAACGAUGCUUCAGAUAUGAAGGGAGAUUUAGGUGUCAAGACAAAGACACAAUUAUUGGCAGAAAAAUCUGUUUUCAAGGUUUUGCUUGUAGCUAUCAUCGCCGCUAAAGCUGAUACCAGUCUUCAAGAUGAGAAGGAUGACUUUGUUGUUGAUAUAUGCCGGCAUUUUGCUAUACUUUUCCAUGUUGAUUCGUCAUCCUCCAAUCAAUCUGGAUUUGGGCAGCCUAUUGGUUCGUCCCUGUCAUCUAGCAUCACCAUGGGGUCUAGACCAAGAAGCACCACAUCAUCUAAUCUCCGGGAGUUGGACCCUUUAAUAUUUUUGGAUGCAUUAGUUGAAGUUCUAUCUAGUGAAAACCGUCAACAUGCAAAAGCUGCUCUAUCUGCUUUGAAUACUUUUGCUGAGACACUAAUCUUUCUCGCACGGAUGAAACACACUGGUGUGCUAAGAGGAGGCCCAAGCACUCCUAUGCUCGUUUCUAGUCCAUCUUUGAAUCCAGUAUAUUCUCCUCCCCCGAGUGUGCGGGUUGCUGUGUUUGAGGAACUAUUGCCCCGUUUAUUGCACUGUUGUUAUGGUAGCACGUGGCAAGCUCAGAUGGGUGGUGUAAUAGGCCUUGGAGCAUUGGUUGGUAAAGUGUCUGUGGAAACCCUAUGUAUCUUUCAGGUCAGAGUUGUACGUGGACUUAUAUAUGUUCUUAAGAGGCUUCCAGUGCAUGCAAACAAAGAGCAGGAGGAGACAAACCAUGUCCUAACACAAGUGUUACGGGUAGUAAACAACGCAGAUGAAGCAAACAGUGAACCCCGCAGACAAAGUUUCCAGGGAGUUGUUGAGUUUCUUGCUUUCGAGCUGUUUAACCCCAAUGCUUCAAUUGUUGUGAGAAAGAAUGUGCAGGCAUGCUUAUCACUGCUUGCAAGUAGGACUGGCAGUGAAGUCUCUGAAUUGCUUGAGCCUUUGUAUCUACCAUUGCUUCAGCCUCUGAUUUCACGACCUCUGCGUUCGAAGAACGUUGAGCAACAGGUGGGUACUGUUACAGCCCUGAACUUCUGUCUAGCACUAAGACCACCUCUUCUGAAGUUGUCGCCUGAGCUCGUCAAUUUUUUGCAAGAAGCACUGCAAAUUGCGGAGGCUGAUGAAACAGUAUGGGUCACCAAGCUGAUGAAUGCCAAAAUAGUCAUGACAUGGAAUAAACUAAGAACUGCAUGCAUUGAACUGCUCUGUACUGCGAUGGCUUGGGGAGAUCUGAAAGCUCCAAUUCACAGUGAAUUGCGGGCAAAGAUUAUCUCAAUGUUUUUCAAGUCUCUUACAUGUAGGACAACUGAAAUUGUCAAUGUUGCCAAGGAGGGACUUCGUCAGGUUGUUCAGCAACAGAGGAUGCCAAAAGAUCUUUUACAGAGUAGCUUAAGGCCCAUCUUAGUUAACUUAGCACAGACAAGGAGUCUCACCAUGCCGUUACUCCAAGGAUUGGCCCGUCUGCUUGAAUUACUGUCUAAUUGGUUCAAUGUAACUUUGGGUGCAAAGUUAUUGGAUCACUUGAAAAAAUGGCUGGAGCCAGAGAAGCUUGCCCAGAGUCAAAAAUCUUGGAAAACUGGAGAUGAACCAAAAAUAGCUGCAGCUAUGAUUGAGCUUUUUCACCUUCUCCCCGCGGCGGCGAGCAAGUUCUUGGAUGACCUUGUCACCUUGGUAAUAGAUUUGGAGAGCGCACUUCCUGAAGACCAAUUUUAUAGUGAAAUCAACAGCCCUUACCGUGCUCCACUCUCCAAGUUUUUGAACCGCUAUGCUGUGGAGGCUGUGGACUAUUUUCUUGCUCGGUUAAGUCAUCAAAAGUAUUUCAGAAGGUUUAUGUACAUAAUCUGCUCUGAUACUGGGGAAUUACGGGAUGAACUUGCGAAGUCACCUCAAAAGAUACUUGCUAGUGCCUUUUCACAGUUUAACUCUCAGACUGAAGCAGGUGCUGCUCAACUACCAUCUUCGGGACCUGGUAAUCAGUUGUUGUCCUCGGUAAAGGAUGAAGGAGCUGGAGCCACAACCAAUAGUUUUACUGUCCAAUCUUCAUCAAACAUGGUUAUUGGUUCAGAUAGUUAUUUCAAUGGAUUAGAACUUAUCUCGACCCUUGUGAAAUUGAUGCCCGAGUGGCUCCGUGACAACAGGGAUGUCUUCGACACAUUGUUGCUUGCAUGGAAAUCACCUGCAAGAAUUGCUCGCCUGCAGAAUGAGCAGGAAUUAAGUUUACCCCAGGUGAUGGAAAGCAAACGGCUCAUAAAAUGCUUCCUGAAUUACUUAAGGCACGAUCGUACUGAAGUUAGUGCACUCUUUGAUAUGCUAUCAAUAUUCUUGUACCGAAGCCGAAUAGAUUAUAGCUUUCUGAAGGAAUUUUAUGUCAUAGAGGUUGCUGAAGGAUAUGCUCCAAAUUUGAAGAAAACUAUUCUGACUCACUUUCUGAACAUAUUCCAACUAAAACAGUAUGGGCAAGAUCAUUUGGUUGUUGCUAUGCAGAUACUCAUUCUUCCAAUGCUAGCUCAUUCUUUCCAAAACGGACAAAGUUGGGAAGUUGUUGAUCCUUCUAUAGUUAAAAUUAUUGUUGACAAGCUUCUUGAUCCUCCGGAAGAGGUCAGUGCUGAAUAUGACGAGCCUUUAAGAAUAGAACUCCUUCAGCUUGCCACAUUACUUCUGAAGUAUCUUCAGAAUGACCUUGUUCACCAUCGAAAGGAACUCAUAAAGUUUGGCUGGAACCAUCUUAAACGUGAAGACAAUUCCAGCAAACAGUGGGCCUUUGUGAACGUGUGCCAUUUCUUAGAGGCAUAUCAAGCCCCUGAAAAGAUAAUUCUACAGGUUUUUAUUGCUCUAUUACGGACAUGCCAACCAGAAAAUAAGUUGCUAGUGAAGCAAGCUCUUGAUAUCCUUAUGCCUGCUCUGCCUAGAAGACUCCCUCCUGGGGAUACUCGCAUGCCAAUAUGGAUCAGAUACACGAAGAAAAUCCUUGUGGAGGAAGGCCAUUCUAUUCCCAACAUGAUUCACAUAUUCCAGCUAAUUGUUCGCCAUGCAGAACUGUUCUAUAGUUGCAGAGCACAUUUUGUUCCCCAGAUGGUUAACUCUCUUAGUCGUCUUGGAUUACCAUACAACACAACUGCUGAAAACCGACGUCUUGCAAUCGAACUUGCUGGAUUGGUAGUGGCGUGGGAGAGACAGAGGCAGAGUGAAAUGAAAGUUGUGCAGGAAAGUGAGAGCCAGAAUCAGAUUGUUGAUAUGCUUAGCCCUACUGUUAUUGGUGGUGAUCCAAAACGCUCUUCAGAUGUUCCCAUGUUUGCUGAUGAUCUGAGUAAGAGGGUAAAGGUUGAGCCAGGCUUACAACCUCUUCCUGUGAUGUCACCUGGUGGGGCAUCCAUACCUAAUAUUGAAACACCAGGAUCUUCUGGGCAACCGGAUGAGGAAUAUAAACCCAAUGCUGCAAUGGAAGAGAUGAUUAUUACUUUCCUUAUAAGGGUGUCACUGGUGAUUGAACCCAAGGAAAAAGAAUCUAGUUCAAUGUACAAGCAAGCUCUUGAUUUGCUGACACAAGCUUUGGAAGUCUGGCCCAAUGCCAAUGUUAAAUUCAAUUAUCUCGAGAAGCUGCUUGGGAAUCUGACACCCUCCCAGUCAAAGGACCCUGCAACGGCGCUUGCACAGGGUCUUGAUGUUAUGAACAAAGUCUUGGAAAAACAACCCCGCCUCUUCAUUCGGAAUAACAUCAAUCAUAUUUCUCAAAUACUGGAACCUUGCUUCAAUAACAAAAUGCUGGAUGCUGGAAAGUCCCUUUGUUCCUUGCUAAAGAUGGUAUUCAGCGCUUUUCCACUUGAAGCGGCUACGACACCGCAGGAUAUAAAAAUGUUGUAUCAAAGGGUUCAAGAUCUCAUUCAGAAGCAUCUUGCUGCUGUGACAACUCCACAGAUAACACUCGAAGCUAGCAAUGCUAACUCUAUAAUAAGCUUUGCACUGUUCGUCCUCAAUGCACUUGCAGAAGUACAAAAGAAUUUCAUUGAUCCAUUUAUUGUGCUGCUUCUUCGUGUCCUGCAACGUCUUGCACGGGAUAUGGGAUCUUCUGCUGGCAACCAUGCCCGACAAGGACAGAGGCCUGAAAUGGAUUCAGCAGUUAGCUCGCGCCCUACUGUGGAUUCUACUGUCAUAUGCAACAUGAAGACUGUCCUAAAGCUCAUAAGUGAGAGGGUGAUGGGCUCUUCUGAGUACAGACGAAAUAUGGGACAAAUACUUCAAACACUUCUUUCAGAGAGAGGCACCGAUUCCAGUGUUCUUCUAUGCAUACUAGACAUGAUAAAAGCUUGGAUUGAGGAUGACUACAGACUUGUUUCAUCAGCUGGCUCUGUUAGUUCUCUUAACCCAAAAGAUAUAGUAACUUAUCUUCAGAAGUUAUCAGUGGUUGACAGGAAAAGUUUCUCCUCAUCCGCACAAGAAGAAUGGGAUGCAAAGUAUCUGCAGCUUCUUUAUUCACUUUGUGGUGAUUCUACCAAAUAUCCAUUGGCUUCCAGGCAAGAGUAUUUUCAUAAGGUUGAGAGACAAUACAUGCUUGGAUUUAGGGCUAAAGAUCCAGAAAUGAGGAAGCGGUUCUUCAGGCUUUACCAUGACUACGUGGGAAAGACGUUAUUUGCUAGAUUGCAAUUUAUAAUACAGACUCAGGACUGGGAAGCAGUGAGUGAUGUUUUCUGGUUGAAGCAAGGCUUGGAUCUCAUUUUAGCUAUAUUAGUUGAAAAUGAACCAAUUUCUCUUGCCUCAAAUUCUGCCCGACUUACCCCGCUUACGAUAGUGGGUCCAGUUCCAGAUCGCAUUAUCAUGCCACAGCAGGUUCCUGAUGCUCAUGAAAGCUUGGAUGGCACUUCCCUGUCAUUUGAUUCUCUUACGACGAGGCAUUCUCAGUUCUUAAAUGAAGCAAGCAAGCUUGUGGUGGCAGAUGUCAUGGCUCCAUUGAAAGAACUUGCUUUUGCUGAUCCCAAUGUUGCGUAUCAUUUGUGGGUUCUUGUCUUUCCAAUUGUUUGGGUUACUUUACAGAAAGAUGAACAAGUUGCGCUAGCCAAGCCAAUAAUUGCACUUCUCUCAAAAGACUACCAUAAGAGGCAGCAGGGAUGCAGGCCUAAUGUAGCCCAAGCACUUCUUGAAGGUCUUCAUUUGAGCCACCCUCAACCACGCAUGCCGAGCGAGCUUAUCAAAUAUAUUGGAAAAACUUGCAAUGCCUGGCACACUUCAAUCGCAUUACUUGAGAGUCACAUGCUGCUUAUGAAUGAGGCUAAAUGCUCCGAGUCACUGGCCGAGUUAUACAGGCUUCUGAAUGAAGAUGACAUGAGGUAUGGAUUAUGGAAGAGAAGAUCAAUCACUGCAGAAACUAGAGCUGGGCUAUCACUUGUCCAGCAUGGAUAUUGGCAGCAGGCGCAAACCCUCUUUUACCAGGCAAUGAUCAAAGCAACUCAGGGCACAUACAAUAAUACUGUCCCAAAAGCUGAAAUGUGUCUGUGGGAAGAACAGUGGUUGUCUUGUGCAACUCAGUUAGGCCAGUGGGAAGUAUUGGCUGAUUUUGGAAAAGGUGUGGAGAAUUAUGAGAUUCUUUUGGAUUGCCUCUGGAAGGCGCCUGACUGGACAUAUAUGAAGGAGCAUGUAAUUCCGAAAGCUCAAGUAGAAGAGACACCAAAGUUACGUCUGAUUCAAGCAUUUUUCACUCUUCAUGACAAAGGUACUAAUGGUGUUGGAGAAGCUGAGAACCUCGUUAGCAAAGGUGUUGAACUCGCACUAGAACAGUGGUGGCAGUUGCCUGAGAUGUCUGUGCAGUCCCGAAUGCCUCUGCUGCAGCAGUUUCAGCAGUUGGUUGAAGUGAAAGAAUCCUCUAAAAUACUUCUUGACAUUGCAAAUGGGAAUAAACCAGCUUCGGGGAACUCCGGUGCCAGUUCAAAUCACCAGAAUUCAUUUGCUGAUCUCAAGGAUAUCCUUGAGACAUGGAGACUUAGGACUCCUAAUGACUGGGACAAUACGACUAUUUGGUAUGACCUGCUCCAAUGGAGGAAUGAAAUGUACAAUUCGGUAAUAGAUGCGUUCAAGGAUUUUGGCCAAACAAAUCCUCAACUUCAUCAUCUUGGUUACCGAGACAAGGCUUGGAAUGUGAACAAGCUUGCUCACAUCACUCGCAAGCAUGGUCUUCCUGAUGUUUGUGUUACUAUACUUGAUAAGAUGUAUGGGCAUGCUACAAUGGAAGUCCAGGAAGCAUUUGUGAAGAUAUGCGAACAAGCUAAGGCAUACUUAGAUAUGAAAGGCGAACUAGUCAGUGGUCUUAACUUGAUCAAUAAUACCAAUUUGGAAUUUUUCCCUGUGAAAAAUAAAGCAGAAAUAUUUCGUCUGAAAGGCGACUUCAUGUUGAAAAUGAAUGACUGCGAGAAUGCAAAUGUUGCGUAUUCAAAUGCAAUCACCCUUUUUAAGCAUUUGCCAAAAGGGUGGAUUAGCUGGGGAAAUUAUUGUGACAUGAUUUUCAAAGAAACACAAGAAGAGGUUUGGCUUGAGUAUGCCGCAAGUUGUUUUUUCCAAGGCGUUAAAUAUGGAGUUUCGAACUCAAGGAGCCAUCUAGCUCGAAUUCUCUAUCUUCUCAGCUUUGAUACGCAAAAUGAACCAGUCGGAAGGGCUUUAGAUAAAUAUCUUGAGCAGCUGCCCCAUUGGGUUUGGCUUUCUUGGAUCCCUCAAUUGUUGCUAUCAUUACAGAGAAAUGAAGCUCAACACUGCAAAUUGGUUUUGCUGAAGAUAGCUCAAGUUUAUCCACAGGCCUUGUAUUAUUGGCUUCGUACAUACUUGAUGGAGCGGCGUGAUGUUGCAACUAAAACUGAAAUGGGAAGAAAUAUGUUGGCUCAGCAGCGUAUGCAACAAGCUAUGUUGGCAAACAAUGCUGCAAAUAACAGCAGUGCGGGUGGUAAUUUGACUUCUGACAACCAGGUUCAUCAGGCCGCCCAGUCAGGUGGUGCUACAGGUUCUCAUGAGGGGGGCAACCUCCAAGGACAAGAGGUGGACAGAUCUACGGUUGAAGGUGGUACAAGUACCAGUCAUGAUCAAGGUCAACAGAGCUCAACAGGUGCAGAGGGUUCACAAAAUGCACUAAGACGUAACAAUGGACUUGGUUGGGUCACUUCCGCAGCAAGUGCCUUUGAUGCUGCAAAGGAUAUCAUGGAAGCUCUUAGGAGCAAGCAUACCAAUUUAGCCAACGAACUUGAGCUUUUACUGUCUGAAAUUGGAUCAAGAUUUGUUACUCUUCCCGAGGAAAGACUUCUUGCUGUGGUUAAUGCACUGCUUCAUCGCUGCUACAAGUAUCCAACUGCAACCACAGGCGAGGUUCCGCAAUCUCUCAAGAAGGAGCUUUCUGGUGUGUGCAGGGCUUGCUUUUCACAAGAUGCUGUUAACAAACACGUUGAUUUUGUCAAGGAGUACAAGCAAGAUUUUGAGCGUGACCUUGACCCAGAUAGUGCUACUACAUUUCCAUCAACCCUUGCUGAACUUACUGAGAGAUUGAAGCACUGGAAGAAUAUUCUGCAGAGUAAUGUUGAGGACAGAUUUCCUGCUGUAUUAAAGCUAGAGGAAGAAAGUAAAGUACUUAGGGAUUUUCAUGUUGUUGACGUAGAACUCCCGGGGCAGUAUUUUACAGAUCAGGAGGUUGCGCCUGACCACACUGUCAAGUUGGACAGAGUUGGACCUGAUAUACCAAUUGUCCGGAGACAUGGUAGUAGCUUUCGGCGCCUGACACUUAUUGGUUCUGAUGGUUCGCAGCGCCAUUUUAUUGUUCAGACAUCAUUGACUCCGAAUGCUCGGAGUGAUGAAAGAAUGCUGCAGCUUUUCCGUGUGCUAAACAAAAUGUUUGACAAACACAAGGAGUCUAGACGUCGCCAUCUUGCUAUCCAUACCCCGAUAAUUAUUCCUGUUUGGUCUCAGGUUCGGAUGGUAGAGGAUGAUUUGAUGUACAGCACUUUCCUUGAGGUUUAUGAAAUCAACUGUGCACGGCAUAACAGAGAAGCUGAUUCACCUAUAACAAUUUUUAAAGAGCAGCUAAAUCAAGCCAUCUCAGGGCAGGUUUCUCCUGAACAAGUGGUGGAACUGCGUUUGCAAGCAUACAAUGAAAUUACUAAAAGUAUUGUAAAUGAUAAUAUCUUCUCCCAGUACAUGCACAAGAUUCUGCCAACUGGCAACCACCUUUGGACUUUCAAGAAACAGUUUGCAAUCCAAGUGGCUCUGUCCUGCUUCAUGUCAUACAUGUUGCAGAUUGGUGGCAGGGCUCCUAACAAAAUUCUGUUUGCGAAAAAUACCGGGAAGAUCUUCCAGACUGACUUCCAUCCAGCUUAUGAUCCAAAUGGAUUGAUUGAGUUCAAUGAGCUAGUUCCAUUUAGGCUGACACGCAACAUGCAAGCUUUCUUCUCAAAUUUUGGCGUUGAAGGUCUCAUCGUUUCUGCCAUGUGUUCUGCUGCCCAGUCUGUGGUUUCACCUAAACAAACCCAACACAUAUGGCAUCAUCUGGCUAUGUUUUUCCGCGACGAGCUGUUAUCUUGGUCAUGGAGAAGGCCGCUUGGCAUUCCGUCUGUUCCAGUUGCCGCUGGAAUGAUCAAUCCAUUGGAUUUCCAGCAAAAGGUUAUACACAAUGUGGAUCACGUCAUCAACCGUAUCAAAUCCAUAUCACCACAUUAUCUUGCUGAUGAGGAGGAGAGCACAACAGAACCGCCCCAGUCUGUCCAAAGAGGCGUUACAGAACUGGUGGAAUCCGCGCUAUCUUCGAGGAACCUGUGCAUGAUGGAUCCGACAUGGCACCCAUGGUUCUGA
RNAcentral lists this ribosomal RNA (11628 nucleotides) under Triticum aestivum (bread wheat). RNAcentral's name for it is "partial small subunit ribosomal RNA". Lineage: Eukaryota; Viridiplantae; Streptophyta; Magnoliopsida; Poales; Poaceae. The record is from RNAcentral.